UGGUGCAGCGGUAGUGUCUCUGCAUGCCAUGCGGGCGACCCGGGUUCAAAUCCCGGU
This 57-nucleotide transfer RNA is filed under the name Merluccius polli (Benguela hake). Its description in RNAcentral is "tRNA-Gly". The record is from RNAcentral. Lineage: Eukaryota; Metazoa; Chordata; Actinopteri; Gadiformes; Merlucciidae.